UACGGAGGGUGCAAACGUUGCUCGGAAUCCUUGGGCGUAAAGCGCACGUAGGCGGACCGCUAAGUCGGAUGUGAAAGCCCUCGGCUUAGCCGAGGAAGUGCAUUCGAAACUGACGGUCUUGAGUAUGGAAGAGGGUCGCGGAAUUCCCGGUGUAGAGGUGAAAUUCGUAGAUAUCGGGAGGAACACCAGUGGCGAAGGCGGCGACCUGGGCCAAUACUGACGCUGAGGUGCGAAAGCGUGGGUAGCAAACAGG
Molecule: ribosomal RNA, 253 nt
Filed under: uncultured bacterium
Lineage: Bacteria
Description: partial 16S ribosomal RNA
Rfam family: Bacterial small subunit ribosomal RNA
Source: RNAcentral